RNAcentral lists this ribosomal RNA (254 nucleotides) under uncultured bacterium. RNAcentral's name for it is "partial 16S ribosomal RNA". It matches the Rfam family "Bacterial small subunit ribosomal RNA", at positions 524 to 776 of the family's 1533-position model. The record is from RNAcentral.
CACGUAGGGGGCAAGCGUUGUCCGGAUUUAUUGGGCGUAAAGCGCUCGUAGGUGGUUCGGUAAGGCAGGUGUGAAACCUCCAGGCUCAACCUGGAGACGCCACUUGAUACUGCUGUGACUGGAGUCCGGUAGGGGAGCGUGGAAUUCCUGGUGUAGGGGUGAAAUGCGCAGAUAUCAGGAGGAACACCAGCGGCGAAGGCGGCGCUCUGGGCCGGUACUGACACUGAGGAGCGAAAGCGUGGGUAGCAAACAGG